GUGCCAGCCGCCGCGGUAAUACCGGCAGCUCAAGUGAUGACCGAUUUUAUUGGGCCUAAAGCGUCCGUAGCUGGCCAUGCAAGUCCGUCGGGAAAUCCACCCGCUUAACGGGUGGGCGUCCGGCGGAAACUGCACGGCUUGGGACAGGGAGGCUCGAGGGGUACGUUCGGGGUAGGAGUGAAAUCCCGUAAUCCUGAACGGACCACCGAUGGCGAAAGCACCUCGAGAGGACUGAUCCGACAGUGAGGGACGAAAGCUGGGGUCUCGAACCGGAUUAGAUACCCGGGUAGUCC
RNAcentral lists this ribosomal RNA (293 nucleotides) under uncultured bacterium. Its description in RNAcentral is "partial 16S ribosomal RNA". It matches the Rfam family "Archaeal small subunit ribosomal RNA", at positions 455 to 747 of the family's 1478-position model. The record is from RNAcentral.